CCUCCCGUAGUUCAACGGAUAGAAUGCAAGCUUGCGGAGCUUGUGAUGUAGGUUCGAUUCCUGCCGGGAGGA
Molecule: transfer RNA, 72 nt
Filed under: bacterium
Lineage: Bacteria
Description: tRNA-Arg
Rfam family: tRNA
About the family: Transfer RNA (tRNA) molecules are approximately 80 nucleotides in length.
Source: RNAcentral